Molecule: long non-coding RNA, 187 nt
Organism: Saccoglossus kowalevskii
Lineage: Eukaryota; Metazoa; Hemichordata; Enteropneusta; Harrimaniidae
Source: RefSeq, a predicted model, not a curated record
AUUUCAUUCUACUGAAAAACUAUGGGUUAUUGAUAUACAGAGCCUAGCUAAAUAGAGAAGAUGGAAGGAUUCGUUGUCAACAUAUACACAUUCCUCUCAAUCUUAUCACUUGCUGCAAUCGGAUUAGGAUUAUUCUAUACGUGCAUUGACUUUGAGUUGAAAUUAUCACAUCCAAACUUUACUCCGG